AUACUUACCUGGUACAGGGGAUACCGUGAUCAGCAAGGCGGUUCCCCCAGGUCGAGGCCCUUCCAUUGCACUCCGGUCGGGCUGAACCCUGCGAUAAUCCCAAAUGCGGAUUACUCGGGUACGCUAUUUUUAAGUGUGGGGGUCUGCGUUCGCGCUAACCCCUG
Small nuclear RNA from Cyprinus carpio (common carp), 164 nucleotides. Its record names the gene U1. It matches the Rfam family "U1 spliceosomal RNA". From Rfam's summary of the family: U1 is a small nuclear RNA (snRNA) component of the spliceosome (involved in pre-mRNA splicing). Its 5' end forms complementary base pairs with the 5' splice junction, thus defining the 5' donor site of an intron. Lineage: Eukaryota; Metazoa; Chordata; Actinopteri; Cypriniformes; Cyprinidae. The record is from Ensembl.